GAGGCGUACGACGGCCAGUGAUUAGAGUUUGAUCCUGGCUCAGGAUGAACGCUAGCGGCAGGCUUAACACAUGCAAGUCGAGGGGUAACAGGGGAUGUAGCAAUACAUCCUGCUGACGACCGGCGCACGGGUGCGUAACGCGUAUGCAACCUGCCCGCAACAGGGGUAUAACGGAGUGAAAAUUCCACUAAUCCCCCAUAUUGUCAUUAGGCCGCAUGGCUUUAUGACGAAAGGUUAUUCUGGUUGCGGAUGGGCAUGCGUGACAUUAGGUAGUUGGCGGGGUAACGGCCCACCAAGCCGACGAUGUCUAGGGGAGCUGAGAGGCUUAUCCCCCACACUGGUACUGAGACACGGACCAGACUCCUACGGGAGGCAGCAGUGAGGAAUAUUGGUCAAUGGGCGGAUGCCUGAACCAGCCAUGCCGCGUGGAGGAAGAAGGUCCUAUGGGUUGUAAACUCCUUUUGUACCGGAGUAAUAAGGUCUUUGCGAAGGCCGAUGAGAGUACGGUACGAAUAAGCAUCGGCUAACUCCGUGCCAGCAGCCGCGGUAAUACGGAGGAUGCAAGCGUUAUCCGGAUUUAUUGGGUUUAAAGGGUGCGCAGGCGGCGCGAUAAGUCAGCGGUGAAAGGUCCCGGCUCAACCGGGGAGCUGCCGUUGAUACUGUUGUGCUGGAGUGCGGACGGCGCCGGCGGAAUGUGUCAUGUAGCGGUGACAUGCUUAGAGAUGACACAGAACACCGAUCGCGAAGGCAGCUGGCGAGGCCGUUACUGACGCUGACGCACGAAAGCGUGGGGAGCAAACAGGAUUAGAUACCCUGGUAGUCCACGCAGUAAACGAUGGGGACUUGUUGUCGGCGAUAGAGUGUCGGUGACAAAGCGAAAGCGAUAAGUCCCCCACCUGGGAAGUACGAUCGCAAGGUUGAAACUCAAAGGAAUUGACGGGGCCCGCACAAGCGGAGGAGCAUGUGGUUUAAUCGAUGAUACGCGAGGAUCUUACCUGGACUCAAAUGCAGCGUGACGUCAGAAAUGGACAUCUUCGGACAGGCUGCAGUGCUGCAUGUGUCGUCAGCUCUGCCUGAGUGUCAGUAGUCAUACGAGCGCACCCUACGUCAAUGCGCGGUAAGCCCGGACUCUUGAAGGACUGUCGGCCAAGCUAAGGAGAGUUGGAUGACUUAUGUCAGGGCCAAUUCACGUAUGUACAGGCGGCGACUCAUCGCAGUGGUCAUACUUAGAGCGUCGGCGUAUAGCAAGAGCGGCAGG
RNAcentral lists this ribosomal RNA (1258 nucleotides) under uncultured bacterium. RNAcentral describes it as "partial 16S ribosomal RNA". It matches the Rfam family "Bacterial small subunit ribosomal RNA", at positions 1 to 1268 of the family's 1533-position model. The record is from RNAcentral.